Molecule: ribosomal RNA, 484 nt
Filed under: uncultured bacterium
Lineage: Bacteria
Description: partial 16S ribosomal RNA
Rfam family: Bacterial small subunit ribosomal RNA
Source: RNAcentral
GAUGAACGCUGGCGGCGUGCUUAACACAUGCAAGUCGAACGGUGAAGCAGGAGCUUGCUCUUGUGGAUCAGUGGCGAACGGGUGAGUAACACGUGAGCAACCUGCCCCUGACUCUGGGAUAAGCGCUGGAAACGGCGUCUAAUACUGGAUAUGUGAUGUGACCGCAUGGUCUGCAUCUGGAAAGAAUUUCGGUUGGGGAUGGGCUCGCGGCCUAUCAGCUUGUUGGUGAGGGAAUGGCUCACCAAGGCGUCGACGGGUAGCCGGCCUGAGAGGGUGACCGGCCACACUGGGACUGAGACACGGCCCAGACUCCUACGGGAGGCAGCAGUGGGGAAUAUUGCACAAUGGGCGGAAGCCUGAUGCAGCAACGCCGCGUGAGGGAUGACGGCCUUCGGGUUGCAAACCUCUUUUAGCAGGGAAGAAGCGAAAGUGACGGUACCUGCAGAAAAAGCACCGGCUAACUACGUGCCAGCCGCCGCAGUAA